GGCUGCCUAAUACAUGCAAGUCGAGCGAACAGACGAGGAGCUUGCUCCUUUGACGUUAGCGGCGGACGGGUGAGUAACACGUGGGUAACCUACCUAUAAGACUGGGAUAACUUCGGGAAACCGGAGCUAAUACCGGAUAAUAUUUCGAACCGCAUGGUUCGAUAGUGAAAGAUGGCUCUGCUAUCACUUAUAGAUGGACCUGCGCCGUAUUAGCUAGUUGGUAAGGUAACGGCUUACCAAGGCAACGAUACGUAGCCGACCUGAGAGGGUGAUCGGCCACACUGGAACUGAGACACGGUCCAGACUCCUACGGGAGGCAGCAGUAGGGAAUCUUCCGCAAUGGGCGAAAGCCUGACGGAGCAACGCCGCGUGAGUGAUGAAGGUCUUCGGAUCGUAAAACUCUGUUAUUAGGGAAGAACAAACGUGUAAGUAACUGUGCACGUCUUGACGGUACCUAAUCAGAAAGCCACGGCUAACUACGUGCCAGCAGCCGCGGUAAUACGUAGGUGGCAAGCGUUAUCCGGAAUUAUUGGGCGUAAAGCGCGCGUAGGCGGUUUUUUAAGUCUGAUGUGAAAGCCCACGGCUCAACCGUGGAGGGUCAUUGGAAACUGGAAAACC
RNAcentral lists this ribosomal RNA (618 nucleotides) under Staphylococcus sp. TD11. RNAcentral describes it as "bacterial SSU rRNA". It matches the Rfam family "Bacterial small subunit ribosomal RNA", at positions 41 to 642 of the family's 1533-position model. Lineage: Bacteria; Bacillati; Bacillota; Bacilli; Caryophanales; Staphylococcaceae. The record is from RNAcentral.